CCUACGGGAGGCAGCAGUGAGGAAUAUUGGUCAAUGGGCGUAAGCCUGAACCAGCCAAGUCGCGUGAGGGAUGAAGGUUCUAUGGAUCGUAAACCUCUUUUAUAAGGGAAUAAAGUGCGGGACGUGUCCCGUUUUGUAUGUACAUUAUGAAUAAGGAUCGGCUAACUCCGUGCCAGCAGCCGCGGUAAUACGGAGGAUCCGAGCGUUAUCCGGAUUUAUUGGGUUUAAAGGGUGCGUAGGCGGCCUUUUAAGUCAGCGGUGAAAGUCUGUGGCUCAACCAUAGAACUGCCGUUGAAACUGGGAGGCUUGAGUAUGUUAGAGGCAGGCGGAAUGCGUGGUGUAGCGGUGAAAUGCUUAGAGAUCACGCAGAACCCCGAUGGCGAAGGCAGCCUGCCAAGCCAUGACUGACGCUGAUGCACGAAAGCGUGGGUAUCAAACAGGAUUAGAUACCCGAGUAGUC
Molecule: ribosomal RNA, 460 nt
Filed under: uncultured bacterium
Lineage: Bacteria
Description: partial 16S ribosomal RNA
Rfam family: Bacterial small subunit ribosomal RNA
Source: RNAcentral